AGUUAACGUUGGCGGCGUGCCUAACACAUGCAAGUCGAACGCGUCCUAAGGGCAACUUUAGGAUGAGUGGCGAACGGGUGAGUAUCACGUGGGUAAUCUUCCUUCAAGUGGGGAAUAAGCUCUCGAAAGGGAGUCUAAUACCGCAUGACAUUCCGGGACACAAGUCCCGUAAUCAAAGCCGCAAGGCGCUUGAAGAUGAGCCUGCGUCCUAUUAGCUAGUUGGUGGGGUAACGGCCUACCAAGGCUCAGAUGGGUAGCCGGCCUGAGAGGGUGAACGGCCACACUGGGACUGAGACACGGUCCAGACUCCUACGGGAGGCAGCAGUGGGGAAUCUUGGGCAAUGGGGGGGACCCUGACCCAGCGACGCCGCGUGAGGGCGAAGGUUUUCGGAUCGUAAACCUCUGUUGUACGGGAAGAAGGAUGUGACGGUACCGUACGAGUAAGCCCCGGAAACUACGUG
RNAcentral lists this ribosomal RNA (461 nucleotides) under uncultured bacterium. RNAcentral describes it as "bacterial SSU rRNA". It matches the Rfam family "Bacterial small subunit ribosomal RNA", at positions 29 to 507 of the family's 1533-position model. The record is from RNAcentral.